UUUAAUUAAUGUCCUGUGAUUUGCAAUAACAUGGCGUUCAUUGUGAUUCUAGGCUAAACAUAUUAGAAUGUGUUAAAUAGGUGUAUUACCAUUUUAGGAACUCUUGAAAGCUGUGGUUCAUUUUAUUAAGGUACUGAAAUUCCCACAAUUUUUAAGAUAGAAAUUGGCCAUUUUCACUCUAAUCUUCUUUUCUAAAAUUUUCAAGUCAAAUAUCUCUGUCAUUUGCUUGAGUACCUUAUUAGGGAGCUG
This 249-nucleotide unclassified non-coding RNA is filed under the name Hevea brasiliensis (rubber tree). Lineage: Eukaryota; Viridiplantae; Streptophyta; Magnoliopsida; Malpighiales; Euphorbiaceae. The record is from RNAcentral.